AUGGCUGUGGCUCAGUUGGAAGAGUAGUUGUCUUGCAGUCAGAAAGGUGUUGGUUUGAUUCCAGUUUCCUCCCUGCCACA
Molecule: non-coding RNA, 80 nt
Organism: Characodon lateralis
Lineage: Eukaryota; Metazoa; Chordata; Actinopteri; Cyprinodontiformes; Goodeidae
Source: the annotation of a GenBank genome assembly